RNAcentral lists this ribosomal RNA (465 nucleotides) under Vreelandella stevensii. RNAcentral describes it as "partial 16S ribosomal RNA". It matches the Rfam family "Bacterial small subunit ribosomal RNA", at positions 338 to 795 of the family's 1533-position model. The record is from RNAcentral. Lineage: Bacteria; Pseudomonadati; Pseudomonadota; Gammaproteobacteria; Oceanospirillales; Halomonadaceae.
CCUACGGGAGGCUGCAGUGGGGAAUAUUGGACAAUGGGGGCAACCCUGAUCCAGCCAUGCCGCGUGUGUGAAGAAGGCCCUCGGGUUGUAAAGCACUUUCAGUGAGGAAGAACGCCUGGUGGUUAAUACCCAUCAGGAAAGACAUCACUCACAGAAGAAGCACCGUCUAACUCCGUGCCAGCAGCCGCGGUAAUACGGAGGGUGCGAGCGUUAAUCGGAAUUACUGGGCGUAAAGCGCGCGUAGGUGGCUUGAUAAGCCGGUUGUGAAAGCCCGGGGCUCAACCUGGGAACGGCAUCCGGAACUGUCAAGCUAGAGUGCAGGAGAGGAAGGUAGAAUUCCCGGUGUAGCGGUGAAAUGCGUAGAGAUCGGGAGGAAUACCAGUGGCGAAGGCAGCCUUCUGGACUGACACUGACACUGAGGUGCGAAAGCGUGGGUAGCAAACAGGAUUAGAUACCCUAGUAGUC